UACGGGGGGGACAAGCGUUGUUCGGAAUUACUGGGCGUAAAGGGUCUGUAGGUGGCCAACUAAGUCAGACGUGAAAUCCCUCAGCUUAACUGGGGAACUGCGUCUGAUACUGGAUGGCUCGAGUGUGGGAGAGGAAUGCGGAAUUCCAGGUGUAGCGGUGAAAUGCGUAGAUAUCUGGAGGAACACCGGUGGCGAAGGCGGCAUUCUGGACCAUAACUGACACUGAGAGACGAAAGCCAGGGGAGCAAACGGG
This 253-nucleotide ribosomal RNA is filed under the name uncultured bacterium. Its description in RNAcentral is "partial 16S ribosomal RNA". It matches the Rfam family "Bacterial small subunit ribosomal RNA", at positions 524 to 776 of the family's 1533-position model. The record is from RNAcentral.